GUAGAUAUUUAUAUCUAAAGCUUAGAUUUGAACUUUGAGCCUUAAAACUUCAAUUCUUUCUACUUUAAGAUCAUAAUUGCUUAAAACAAACUAUUUUAUCAUAAGUGUAAAUAUAUAAUUGAACCUUACUAUGCUUGACAAGUGUUAAUACUUUGUACCUAAUAGUAAUACCAUGGACACCAGAGUUUAAGAUUAUCCGUGAGAACACGAAUUCAUUGCUCAAUUAUGAUUUAUCUGUCAGAGAAAAAGGAUUUCCUAACCAGUUUAAAAUUCAAUCACUAAGCCAAGUUCUUACUCAGACACCUCC
This 307-nucleotide long non-coding RNA is filed under the name Mytilus galloprovincialis (Mediterranean mussel). Lineage: Eukaryota; Metazoa; Mollusca; Bivalvia; Mytilida; Mytilidae. The record is from RNAcentral.